CAGUAAAGUAGUGGUGCGAGACGCUCUCUCAAAUUUCUUUUCUAAAUGAGAUCGCGACAAAUAUUAAAAUAUAAUUACCUAGGAUUAUUGUAAUUAAUGAUUAAUUAACUUGCUGCAACGAAUGGCGUAUGAUUUUGGCAUCGUGAAAACGUUGAACAAAUCGUAUUUUUCGCGAUUUCUUUUUUGCGAUAUAAUAAAGUAUGUCUCCUGUGAGUGUUUCGCGAACGGAAGUGCCGAUGAAAAGUAUGCCGCGAUUAUCGUAUAUUCGACUAAUUAUAAUUAACUGUGUUAUUGCAAGUGAGUGUAAAUGUCACGAGGAAACAGCAAGAAAAUAAGACAAGAAAAGAAGAUCCUGAAAAGCAUCUAAUGAUAAACGGAGCAGUAUGCGCGGAAUGGACACUCUGAUAUAUAUAUAAAACCGAUCGAGGGGCAACAGCGUGUGUAUUCCAAUAUGAGAAACUUAGCAAGGAGAUACGCGCGAUCGUUUCUCAGCUGCUCGUGCACGCGACACCGCAGAAGAAGAAUCACUUGGCGGCAGGCGCCUGGCGCCAAGAACACGUUAGGAGGAGAGGCUGCGUCGCCGCCAACUUCGCCGUUGCAUGAACGAACUGUAAGAUACACCAAUUGCACGCAUCGUGUGCGUAUGCAGGCACCAGGUACACACGAGAUAUGCGACGUCCUUGAUCAUUUUUCAGACGAUAAGGAAUACAUAUGGUUCGCGUAAGGGAAGCUGGAUAGGAGGAAGGCUCUCGGUUGCCUCCGUAAGUCUGUUAAGCUAUCGUAAACUGGUUCUCUCGUAAGACUCCCUUUGCGCCGCAAACACGAGAUUUAAUAGAAUGGCGUCGAGCGACGCCGACCAGCCGGGGCCGUUCGAUUACGAUAUUCCCGAUAUCUC
Long non-coding RNA from Cataglyphis hispanica, 895 nucleotides. RefSeq lists it as uncharacterized. Lineage: Eukaryota; Metazoa; Arthropoda; Insecta; Hymenoptera; Formicidae. The record is from RefSeq and is a predicted model, not a curated record. The transcript has 2 exons.